This 464-nucleotide ribosomal RNA is filed under the name uncultured bacterium. RNAcentral describes it as "partial 16S ribosomal RNA". It matches the Rfam family "Bacterial small subunit ribosomal RNA", at positions 339 to 795 of the family's 1533-position model. The record is from RNAcentral.
CUACGGGUCGCUGCAGUAGGGAAUCUUCGGCAAUGGACGGAAGUCUGACCGAGCAACGCCGCGUGAGUGAAGAAGGUUUUCGGAUCGUAAAGCUCUGUUGUAAGAGAAGAACGAGUGUGAGAGUGGAAAGUUCACACUGUGACGGUAUCUUACCAGAAAGGGACGGCUAACUACGUGCCAGCAGCCGCGGUAAUACGUAGGUCCCGAGCGUUGUCCGGAUUUAUUGGGCGUAAAGCGAGCGCAGGCGGUUAGAUAAGUCUGAAGUUAAAGGCUGUGGCUUAACCGUAGUACGCUUUGGAAACUGGUUAACUUGAGUGGAGAAGGGGGGAGUGGAAUUCCAUGUGUAGGGGUGAAAUGCGUAGAUAGAUGGAGGAACACCGGUGGCGAAGGCGGCUCUCUGGUCUGUAACUGACGCUGAGGCUCGAAAGCGUGGGGAGCAAACAGGAUUAGAUACCCCAGUAGUC